AGGUGGCGAUGGUGGCGGCGGUAGUAGUGAAGUAGGUGGUGUUAAAAUUGAGAAAUCACAAGGCCUACAAAUAUUACCAUUGCCAAAACAGAGAUUUUGUGACUGCGGAUAUAUACCACAACUACAAUUACUUUGUACACAUGGACCUGGAAGAAUCAUGGGUAAAGGAAGGGCAAACCCUUGAGGAACCAUUUUACUAGUCCAACCAGGCCCCCAACACACCACUGAAAAAUUGCUUGUGGUUAAUCCACACGUAAAAUCUAACCCAGCUGAAACUGAUUCAAAAAAAUAUCCUUCUGUUAUAUUACUUGAAAAUGUACCAUUUCCGCCCCAACAAACUACCG
Molecule: unclassified non-coding RNA, 344 nt
Filed under: Hevea brasiliensis (rubber tree)
Lineage: Eukaryota; Viridiplantae; Streptophyta; Magnoliopsida; Malpighiales; Euphorbiaceae
Source: RNAcentral